RNAcentral lists this ribosomal RNA (257 nucleotides) under uncultured bacterium. Its description in RNAcentral is "partial 16S ribosomal RNA". It matches the Rfam family "Bacterial small subunit ribosomal RNA", at positions 8 to 258 of the family's 1533-position model. The record is from RNAcentral.
AGAGUUUGAUCAUGGCUCAGGACGAACGCUGGCGGCGUGCCUAACACAUGCAAGUCGAGCGGAGACAGUGAGUAGCUUGCUAUGAGCUGUUUUAGCGGCGGACGGGUGAGUAACGCGUGAGCAACCUUUCCCAGACAGGGGAAUAACACACCGAAAGGUGUACUAAUACCGCAUAAGACCACGGGAUCACAUGGUUCUGGGGUAAAAGAUUUAUCGGUUUGGGGUGGGCUCGCGUCCGAUUAGGUAGUUGGUGAAGG